This 373-nucleotide ribosomal RNA is filed under the name uncultured organism. Its description in RNAcentral is "partial 16S ribosomal RNA". It matches the Rfam family "Bacterial small subunit ribosomal RNA", at positions 527 to 896 of the family's 1533-position model. The record is from RNAcentral.
GGAGGGGGCAAGCGUUAUUCGGAAUUAUUGGGCGUAAAGGGCGCGUAGGCGGCUUGACAAGUCAGUGGUGAAAUCCCUCGGCUCAACCGAGGAACUGCCUCUGAAACUGUCGGGCUUGAGGCCGGGAGAGGGUAGUGGAAUUCCCAGUGUAGCGGUGAAAUGCGUAGAUAUUGGGAGGAACACCCGUGGCGAAGGCGGCUACCUGGACCGGUUCUGACGCUGAGGCGCGAAAGUGUGGGGAGCAAACAGGAUUAGAUACCCUGGGUAGUCCACACUGUAAACGAUGAGCACUCGGUGCAGCGGGUGUCGACUCCUGCUGUGCCUUAGGAAACCCGUUAAGUGCUCCGCCUGGGGGAGUACGGUCGCAAGGCUG